RNAcentral lists this long non-coding RNA (289 nucleotides) under Chlamydomonas reinhardtii. RNAcentral's name for it is "long non-coding RNA (CREI_LNC000417)". Lineage: Eukaryota; Viridiplantae; Chlorophyta; Chlorophyceae; Chlamydomonadales; Chlamydomonadaceae. The record is from RNAcentral.
GAGGUUGGGGCGGGAGCAGACCCAGGCGGCACCGUGAUAGCUCAAGGUCUGCAAGGAGGCAGGAAGCGCAGGAGCACACACACGCACACACACACACACACACACACACAUACAUACACACACACACAUAUAUACACACACACACAUACACACACACAUACACACACACACACACACACACACACACACACACACAGCACACACACACACACACACACACACACACACACACACACACACACACACACACACACACACACACACACACACACACACACACAGCACACAC